AUGUGGAGGCUGAAGGUGUCCGAGGGUGGCGGCCCGUGGUUGCGGUCGGUGAACAACUUCCUCGGCAGGGCGGUGUGGGAAUUCGACCCCGACUACGGCACGCCGGAGGAGCGCGCCGAGGUGGAAAGGGUGCGCCGGGAGUUCACGGACCGCCGUUUCGAGAAGAAGGAGUCGCAGGAUCUUCUGAUGCGCAUGCAGUAUGCAAAACAAAAGCAUCUUCAGGUGGAUCUUCCGGCCAUCAAGCUUGCAGACAGUGCACAAGUCACAGAAGAGGCUUUACUAACAUCAUUGAGGCGAUGCCUUAGCCAGCAUUCUGCUCUACAAGCACACGAUGGGCACUGGGCCGGGGACUUCAGUGGAAUUUUGUUCAUUAUGCCUAUCUUGAUAUUUGCUCUACAUGUUACUGGAUCACUCAAUACUGUCCUAUCAACAGAACAUCGGCGUGAGAUUUGUCGCUAUAUUUACAACCAUCAGAAUGAAGAUGGUGGUUGGGGCACGCAAGUGUUGGGCCCGAGCACCAUGUUUGGAUCAUGCUUAAACUAUGUUACCUUAAGGCUUCUUGGCGAGGUGGAAAAUGAUGCCUUAACCAAUGGGCGUGCUUGGAUUCUAUUGCGUGGAAGUGCAACUGCAAUACCACAAUGGGGGAAAAUAUGGCUCUCGGUGGUUGGUUUGUAUGAAUGGUCUGGAAAUAAUUCGAUCGUUCCUGAGUUAUGGCUUGUCCCACAUUUUCUUCCGAUUCAUCCAGGACGAUUCUGGUGCUUUUGCCGGUUGGUUUAUAUGCCAAUGUCUUAUCUUUACGGUAAGAAGUUUGUUGGCCCAAUUACACCAACAAUAAUGGCAAUAAGAGAGGAGCUCUAUAGUGUAUCAUACAAUGAGAUUGAUUGGAACAAAGCGCGUGAUACUUGUGCUAAGGAAGACCUUCGGUAUCCACGGUCGUUGCUGCAAAAUGUUAUUUGGACUUGUCUUAAUAAAUUUGUAGAACCAGUGUUGAAUUGUUGGCCAAUUAAUAAGUUAAGAGAUACGGCGCUGAAGAACCUCAUGAAACAUAUACAUUAUGAAGACGAAAGCACUAAAUACAUUGGCGUAUGUCCGAUUAACAAGGCACUAGACAUGAUUUGUUGUUGGAUCGAGGAUCCAAAUUCAGAUGCACUGAAGUUGCAUCUUCCAAGGAUCUAUGAUUAUUUAUGGCUUGCGGAAGAUGGCAUGAAAGCACAGGUUUAUGAUGGUUGUCAAAGCUGGGAGCUUGCUUUUAUUGUUCAAGCAUAUUGCUCGACAGACCUCGUCAAUGAGCUCGGCCCAACACUUCGGAAAGCCCAUGAAUUCAUUAAAAGUUCACAGGUUCUUGAGAACCAUCCUAACAGCGAAACUUAUUACCGUCAUAGAUCAAAAGGUUCAUGGACACUUUCAACAGCGGAUAAUGGGUGGUCUGUAUCCGAUUGUACUGCAGAAGCACUUAAGGCAUUGUUGUUGCUGUCGAAGAUCUCUCCUAAUCUUGUGGGGGAUCCCAUAAAAGGAGAAAGGUUGCAUGAUGCAGUGGAUUGCUUACUUUCUUUUAUGAAUAAAGAUGGCACAUUUUCUACAUAUGAGUGUAAGAGAACUACAUCUCUAUUAGAGGUUCUCAACCCUUCUGAAAGUUUUCUGAACAUUAUUGUCGAUUAUCCAUCUGUCGAAUGUACAUCAUCCGUGCUUCAGGCCCUAAUUAUGUUCAAAGAGCUUUACCCAGGGUACCGCAAAGAAGAGAUAGGAAAAUGUGUCAAAAAUGCUUCCAAGUUUAUUGAGGAUAAACAACGAAAGGAUGGCUCAUGGUUUGGCACUUGGGGUAUAUGUUUCACUUAUGGAACGUUCUUUGGUGUAAAAGGAUUAAUUGCUUCUGGAAGAACUUACGAAAAUAGUUCUUCCAUAAGGAAAGCAUGCAUCUUUCUGUUGUCAAAGCAAUUAAGUACAGGUGGAUGGGGAGAAUCUUAUCUUUCUAGUGAAACUGAGGCUUAUGUGGAGGCCACUAGUCCUCAUGCUGUGAACACUGCUUGGGCAAUGUUGGCUUUAAUUUAUGCUGGGCAGGUUGAACGAGAUCCUACGCCACUAUAUCAUGCUGCAAAAGAGUUGAUCAAUAUGCAACUAGAGACGGGAGAGUUUCCCCAGCAAGAACACGUUGGAUGCUUCAACUGCUCCAUAUACUUUAAUUACGGCAAUUAUCGCAACUUGUACCCCAUUUGGGCUCUUGGAGAGUUUCGUCGUCGACUGCUUGCGAAGAACUGA
Molecule: ribosomal RNA, 2256 nt
Filed under: Triticum aestivum (bread wheat)
Lineage: Eukaryota; Viridiplantae; Streptophyta; Magnoliopsida; Poales; Poaceae
Description: partial small subunit ribosomal RNA
Source: RNAcentral